GAUCCUGGCUCAGGACGAACGCUGGCGGCGUGCCUAAUACAUGCAAGUCGAGCGAGCGGAACUAACAGAUUUACUUCGGUAAUGACGUUAGGAAAGCGAGCGGCGGAUGGGUGAGUAACACGUGGGGAACCUGCCCCAUAGUCUGGGAUACCACUUGGAAACAGGUGCUAAUACCGGAUAAGAAAGCAGAUCGCAUGAUCAGCUUUUAAAAGGCGGCGUAAGCUGUCGCUAUGGGAUGGCCCCGCGG
This 247-nucleotide ribosomal RNA is filed under the name uncultured bacterium. Its description in RNAcentral is "partial 16S ribosomal RNA". It matches the Rfam family "Bacterial small subunit ribosomal RNA", at positions 15 to 236 of the family's 1533-position model. The record is from RNAcentral.